CAAGCUCGACCCCAACGACGACGGUAGCGGUCUCGAAGAAGAUGGUUAGUUUACCUCACUGUAAUUUGUUUUGAAGAAGAAGACGGUUGGAUGAAGCUACUGCCUAACGUCCUCGACAGGCCUCUCAGCAAAGAAAAACAAGAGGUCAGUUUGAGUGCAUUUGCGUUCUUGUUUUCAGAGCUUGUGCAAUACAGCCAAACACAGGUUGACAACAUUGCCUAGCUAGAACCAAGGUGAUUCACAUUCUUGGUAUUUCGAUUCAUUUGUUUUGUGCUCAUGUACAUUCAGAAUUAGUUAGUUUAGGGGUUCUAUUAGAUUGAAGAAUGAAGUGCUAGUUCACUUUGCUCAUGUACAUUGCCUAGCUAGAAUCUGGUGCUUCUGAUUCUUCAAGUGAUGACAAGGAUGAGAGAGUGAAGAGAAGUCAUUUGAAGUACCACAGGCACCAUAGGAGGGCAGAUUCUGAUCUUUCUGAUUCUAGUGAUGAUGAUCAGAGAAGAAUCAGAAGAAGUCAUGCAAAGCACCCUAAACACCACCGGCAGUUGAAAUCUGUUUCUUCUGAUUCUUCUAGUUAUGAGGAUGGUGAGAUUAGAAGGAAAAGUCGUGCAAAGCACCAUAAAUGUCAUAGGCGACCAAAUAGUGUUGAUUCAAGGUCAUCGGAGUCAGAUUCGUAUAUGCGUGACAAAAGAAGCAGAUCUUUAGGGAAGUCAUCAGAUGACAACCAUGAUGAGGCAGGUAAACAUUUGAAGGACAAGAAAAACAUUUGAAGGACAAGAAAAAUGGCCACCACCAUCAUCAUAGACAUGGUCACAAUCAUUACUCAGGAGAGGAGAAAGAUCACCAUCAUCGGGAUUCAGUUAAGCCCCAUGGAAAGCACAUCAAAGACCACAGUAGAAAUGGAACUGAUGACAUUAAUGAUGGUAAUGUGUAGUAUGAUCUUAUAGGACGCAGAGUUCAUUCCCUGGUUUGGUCUUGUUUACAUUGAUUCUUAACUGUUGGGAGGGAUGUUCUCUUUCCUGCAUUUGUACCUUAAACUUCUAUUGAAUUAAGAGGCUUGGCCUUUUUUAACAUUCCCAAUUAUGAAUUGAUAUCUGAAAAUUCUCCUUUGUGAAAUUGUUUUGUGAUCAGUUUAGAGAAAAGAAAAAGUACAAAAAGAAAGGAGGUUCUCAGCA
Long non-coding RNA from Rosa chinensis, 1169 nucleotides. RefSeq lists it as uncharacterized. Lineage: Eukaryota; Viridiplantae; Streptophyta; Magnoliopsida; Rosales; Rosaceae. The record is from RefSeq and is a predicted model, not a curated record. The transcript is spliced from 2 exons.